Molecule: small RNA, 176 nt
Filed under: Chelonoidis abingdonii (Abingdon island giant tortoise)
Lineage: Eukaryota; Metazoa; Chordata; Testudines; Testudinidae
Description: TUC338 (ENSCABG00000005721.1)
Source: RNAcentral
UUGGCAGUCCUGGAAACUGUAGCCCUCUAUUUAUCCACAGUCUAAUUUCAAUGCAGGCAGUUGGAGUGGAAGCUUCCCUACACUGGCCUGCCAGUGCUUUCAACCCUGACCUAAAGAGACCCUCUCGAGGAACAAGAAAUAAUUCAUUCUUUAUGCGAGCUUGGCCCUAGACCUUU